GCUGAGGUGGAGGGUCUGGGCCCCAGUGCCUUUGGUUCACAAAUCCUUCCUUCUCCCCUUGAACUCUUUAGGAUGGUGUGAAAAAAAUGGUGAAUGGUGAUGAGCUUCACUGAGCAACAGGAUGGGAGACCUGGCUGGGAGGAGAGGCUGCAUCUCAUGCUGUCACUUGGAGACCACAAGAUGCCGGGACCAGGGGAGGGUCAAUGCCCCCCACCCCGGACCAGCAGGCCCGCGCUGGUUGGCGGGGCCUCUUGCGGAAUUCAGUUCUUGGCCAGAAGUCCCUGCCGUAGACCUCAGGAGAUCUGAGGAAGGCUCAGUAAACCUGGCGGCUGCUCUUCAGGAACCGUUUCAGCAGUAAUCUAUGGAUCCUGAUAUGGACCAGAACCGAGGGACCAGGACGCUUUGACGUAAUAGUGGUCCUCAUCACGCAGAAUUGCUAGGAGGGCUAAAGAGAGACAUUUGCAAGCUCUUGAUGAGUGGUAAUUAUCACUUCUACCCAGCUAACCUCACCUGACAUCCUAGGUGAUCUCAGGAAAUCUGUGUGUCUUCCAUGCCUGAUACUUACUAGGGACCUCCCUAUCCGUGGCCUCCUCUGCCUGUGGCUGGGUGUAUUUUGGAUGCCAGCCUCAGCAAGAGAAGAAACGAUCCCUGCUCACAGCCCUGCCAAAGGGGCAGGCCUAGGUGACAGUGCCCACCGGUGGCUCUGGAGUGGACACACAGACUGAAGGGGCAAUCUACAGACGGGAAAGUCACUGCGGCCAAUGAGAUUCCCCUCUGGUGAUCGGGACCCGGGAAAGGGAGAAACUGGGUUGACCGGCAGCAGAGACAUAGAACCUGGCUGGUCCCAUUAAUGGCAGCACGCUCACGAAAAGGACAGCCUCCCCCUGCUGAGGCUCUCCAGGACGCACUGGGCCCAGGACCACCUCCCCACACAGCCCGGCUGCUUACGCGUUCUUCUAGUAGACACUACAAACAUCUCUUCCAACUGCUUCAGAAUAAACAUGUCCCUUUUUCUGAGUUAGCUUGAGUGGGUCUCUGUUUCCUCCAACAGAAAGAGCCUUCGCUCACACAGCUCCGCCCCUUGGGAAGAACAUGCAGAUGGAGCCCUGGCUGAACAUCCUGGGCACUUCCAGCGCAAGGCAUCGCUUCAACAACCAGCCCCACGGGAGGCAACCCGACUCACUCCUCCCUGGCUCCCUUCUACCGCAGACAUCCAAAAAGUUAAAGCUCUGCUCCUCCCGGCCUCCCCUGUAGCGAGGGGCGGUCAUGUGAGAUAGUCCUGGUCAAAGAUUUGCAAGUGAGUGUCUGUCAGGACAGAGAGUAGCGUCCCUCCUGUGUUGCGUGAAAAUGUCAUGCUUGGAGCUGCGGCCACCAUCUUGCCACCGCAAAGUGAAAGUCAGACAAGAGAGAUUCCAGCCCUGGCACAUUGGGGAUGCUAUGCCACUGGCAGCCCCCAAAUAACAGAUGCCUUGUUAUGUGAGAAAAGUAUAUCCCUAAACUACCAUUAGAUUUUUCUAUAACUUAGAAGCAAAAUCUUUUUGAAAUUAUGUACUCUGAAAUAGACCUUGAUAUUAUUUCCUGUA
Myotis lucifugus (little brown bat) is the source of this 1583-nucleotide long non-coding RNA. RefSeq lists it as uncharacterized. Lineage: Eukaryota; Metazoa; Chordata; Mammalia; Chiroptera; Vespertilionidae. The record is from RefSeq and is a predicted model, not a curated record. The transcript is spliced from 2 exons.